GACGAACGCUGGCGGCGUGCCUAACACAUGCAAGUCGAACGGAGAACUUAAGGAAUGCGACUUCGGUCAAAUGAAAUUUGUUCUUAGUGGCGGACGGGUGAGUAACACGUGAGCAACCUGCCUUUCAGAGGGGAAUAACGGCUGGAAACGGUCGCUAAUACCGCAUAAUAUACACUUUAGGCAUCUUUAGUGUAUCAAAGAUUUUAUCGCUGAAAGAUGGGCUCGCGUCUGAUUAGCUAGUUGGUGAGGUAACGGCCCACCAAGGCGACGAUCGGUAGCCGAACUGAGAGGUUGAUCGGCCGCAUUGGGACUGAGACACGGCCCAGACUCCUACGGGAGACAGCAGUGGGGGAUAUUGCACAAUGGGGGAAACCCUGAUGCAGCAACGCCGCGUGAGGGAAGAAGGUCUUCGGAUUGUAAACCUAAGUUGUCAGGGACGAAUACAUGACGGUACCUGAAAAGAAAGCUCCGGCUAACUACGUG
RNAcentral lists this ribosomal RNA (483 nucleotides) under uncultured bacterium. Its description in RNAcentral is "bacterial SSU rRNA". It matches the Rfam family "Bacterial small subunit ribosomal RNA", at positions 28 to 507 of the family's 1533-position model. The record is from RNAcentral.